UGUACACAUAUAUCGUAUAUCUAUCUGUAUACAUAUGAAUAAGUGUUAGUUUCGAUAUUAAAAGACCACGAGAAAAGCUCGGUUUCAUCAGAUCCGUUCGCGAAGAGACGCAGUAAACGUGAAUUUACUGAAGAACGAGCAUUGAAGAAACUCAACAAGUGUUAGAGAGAGAAAGAGAUAAAGAGAAAGAGAGAGAGAGAAAGAAAGAGACAAACAGACAGACAGAGCUAGAAUUAAAGCUAGAGCUAAAGUUAAAUUAAUGAAUUCGACCAAUGACAUCACUGUGAUAUUUCUACGAUGGAACGAUCAGCCAAUAAACGCUUUUUAUACAUUUUCGCGGUUCCUUUAAAAGUAUGUUAAGAUACCUGUUCUCGCGGAUUAUUCAGGGACGUGAUCUUUUUCUUUUUUGAGAAAAGAAUCUUGUGGCUGAUGAAGGAAAUGGUAAAUUUUUUGUGUUAGUUUCUUUGAAAUUAAUUAAGAUUUGAAAAUGAAAAAGAAUGAAAUGACGAUUGUCAUAUCAAUGAAAAGUUAUGUUCUUUCUUAUGCAUCGAUUGGAUUGUAAAUAUAUACAAGAGAACUAUCAUAAUUAACGUGUUGAAAUGAUUUAACCCAUUUGCAUCUUUAAGCGGAAUAAUCCGCAUACCACGAUUGCCAAUUAUUAUCAGUCGCCGAAUAUUCCACAGUCGACAAUAUUAUCCUGUCGCCAUAAAAUAUUUCAUGAUUGUCUUAUGAGCAGUAUAGAAGGAUUUCAAGACUUGGAUAUUUUGAAACUUAUAGAGUCCAGUGUGGAAAUAGAAAGAAAUCAAAAAAAAGGUGUAUAUCCUAUUCCACUUAAUAAUAGCAAUGAAAUAUAUAACAAUGAAUGCUUAGAAGCAAGAAGAUCGUAUACCAAAAAUACAUCAUUUUUCUGCCAUAAGUGGUGCAACCAUCAACACAGAAAGUAUAUCUAGAAGAGAAGUUUUUGAAAUAGUUUUCAAUGAUAAAUGAAUUGAAAAAAUUAUAUUGAAGAUAAGCAAAUAUAAAGCUACAAGUAGAAACUUUAUAAGAAUUCAGGAAGAUGAACUAAAAAUAAAAUAUUCCGAUGAAUAUAAUUUGAAAACCUACCAUACAAAGUUAUUGGAGUAUAGAUAAAACCGUAAAAAGUCCAUGUUUCAAGAAUAUUGUACCGUAUAAAACAUUUUUGGACAAUAAUUCUGAUUCUAACGAUCUCUUGAUAAAAAUUAGAGAAGUUCCUGAUAUAAUCGCUAAAAAUUUCAUACGCAUGUACAAGCCACAUAAAAUCAUCGAUGAGUAGAAGACAUUUGUAUUACAUAUAACUUAUUCAAAACAAAC
Long non-coding RNA from Vespula vulgaris, 1332 nucleotides. RefSeq lists it as uncharacterized. The record is from RefSeq and is a predicted model, not a curated record. The transcript is spliced from 2 exons. NCBI's taxonomy places the organism in Eukaryota, Metazoa, Arthropoda, Insecta, Hymenoptera, Vespidae.